Small nuclear RNA from Echinops telfairi (small Madagascar hedgehog), 164 nucleotides. Its record names the gene U1. It matches the Rfam family "U1 spliceosomal RNA". Rfam says of the family: U1 is a small nuclear RNA (snRNA) component of the spliceosome (involved in pre-mRNA splicing). Its 5' end forms complementary base pairs with the 5' splice junction, thus defining the 5' donor site of an intron. There are significant differences in sequence and secondary structure between metazoan and yeast U1 snRNAs, the latter being much longer (568 nucleotides as compared to 164 nucleotides in human). NCBI's taxonomy places the organism in Eukaryota, Metazoa, Chordata, Mammalia, Afrosoricida, Tenrecidae. The record is from Ensembl.
AUACUUACCUGGUGGGGGAAAUGUCCUAAUUACAACAAUGGUUUUCCCAGGGCAAGGCUUAUCCGUUGUGCUCUGGAUGUGCUGACCCCUGCAAUUUCCCCAAACGUGGGAAACACAGCUGCAAAGUUUAUGAUAGCAGAGGACUGUGCUCACACUCUCCCCUA